RNAcentral lists this transfer RNA (64 nucleotides) under bovine gut metagenome. It matches the Rfam family "tRNA", at positions 5 to 66 of the family's 71-position model. From Rfam's summary of the family: Transfer RNA (tRNA) molecules are approximately 80 nucleotides in length. Their secondary structure includes four short double-helical elements and three loops (D, anti-codon, and T loops). Further hydrogen bonds mediate the characteristic L-shaped molecular structure. tRNAs have two regions of fundamental functional importance: the anti-codon, which is responsible for specific mRNA codon recognition, and the 3' end, to which the tRNAs corresponding amino acid is attached (by aminoacyl-tRNA synthetases). tRNAs cope with the degeneracy of the genetic code in two manners: having more than one tRNA (with a specific anti-codon) for a particular amino acid; and 'wobble' base-pairing, i.e. permitting non-standard base-pairing at the 3rd anti-codon position. The record is from RNAcentral.
GGUGUAGCCAAGUGGUAAGGCACGGGACUUUGACUCCUGGAUGCGUAGGUUCGAUCCCUGCCAC